UACGUAGGGGGCAAGCGUUGUCCGGAUUUAUUGGGCGUAAAGGGUUCGCAGGUGGCCUUUUAAGCCAAAUGUGAAAGAUCAAGGCUUAACCUUGGUAAGCAUUUGAAACUGAAAGGCUUGAGUUAAGGAGAGGAAAGUGGAAUUCCUAGUGUAGCGGUGAAAUGCGUAGAUAUUAAGAGGAAUACCAGUGGCGAAAGCGACUUUCUGAACUUAUACUGACACUGAGGAACGAAAGCAUGGGGAGCAAAUAGA
RNAcentral lists this ribosomal RNA (252 nucleotides) under uncultured bacterium. RNAcentral describes it as "partial 16S ribosomal RNA". It matches the Rfam family "Bacterial small subunit ribosomal RNA", at positions 524 to 776 of the family's 1533-position model. The record is from RNAcentral.